GGUCCCGGUUUCGGACUCAGCGUACCCGCCCUACCUGAGACGAUCACUUGAUCUCGUCUCCCUCAUUUUGGCCACUAGAUGGCCUGCUUCAGCCCGUGUCGGCUGUUAUGGCGCCUCUCCCCAUCAAGUUAAACUUAGCCGGACAUUUCUCUCUUCAGUAGGUAUCUCCAUUCAGUUAAUUACGUUAUCAUGCACGUGAACAUUUCUUCACCAGAAUGCAUUUUAUUUAAUUUAACAACCUUAAAUGGAACAGGCGACGAAACACUGCAAAGUUAUUGCUAGUCGCCGCAAAAAGAAAAAACAAGAAUGCAAUUAUGAGGCAAUCGUGUCACCUAUUUAGGAACAGUGUAGCCACGCAAAUACUUAUAACCGGGUAUGUCACGAUAAUCAGUCGU
Long non-coding RNA from Drosophila montana, 395 nucleotides. RefSeq lists it as uncharacterized. NCBI's taxonomy places the organism in Eukaryota, Metazoa, Arthropoda, Insecta, Diptera, Drosophilidae. The record is from RefSeq and is a predicted model, not a curated record. The transcript is spliced from 3 exons.